Molecule: non-coding RNA, 238 nt
Filed under: Magnetospirillum moscoviense
Lineage: Bacteria; Pseudomonadati; Pseudomonadota; Alphaproteobacteria; Rhodospirillales; Rhodospirillaceae
Source: RNAcentral
AUUAUAGUCCGCCCAGACGGUUCCCCCGAAGUCCGCAAGGGUGAAGGGGGUGAAUAUGGGAAGCCGGUGCGAUUCCGGCGCUGCCCCCGCAACUGUAGGCGGAGAGGUUCCGGCCGUUCGCGAUUGCCACUGACCCGUUUGCCAGGAUAUCCACCGGCGAACGUUUCCAAGGUCGGGAAGGCUAUGCCGGAACCCUUGACCCGCGAGCCAGGAGACCUGCCGUCGAACCCGCGUGCGC